Molecule: ribosomal RNA, 428 nt
Filed under: uncultured bacterium
Lineage: Bacteria
Description: partial 16S ribosomal RNA
Rfam family: Bacterial small subunit ribosomal RNA
Source: RNAcentral
GUGGGGAAUAUUGGGCAAUGGGCGAAAGCCUGACCCAGCAACGCCGCGUGAGGGAAGAAGGUUUUCGGAUUGUAAACCUCUGUCCUUGGGGACGAAGAAAGUGACGGUACCCAUGGAGGAAGCCCCGGCUAACUACGUGCCAGCAGCCGCGGUAAUACGUAGGGGGCGAGCGUUGUUCGGAAUGACUGGGCGUAAAGGGCGCGUAGGCGGCCGAUUAAGUCUGGAGUGAAAGUCCUGUUUUUAAGGCGGGAAUUGCUUUGGAGACUGGUUGGCUUGAGUGCGGAAGAGGUAAGUGGAAUUCCCAGUGUAGCGGUGAAAUGCGUAGAGAUUGGGAGGAACACCAGUGGCGAAGGCGACUUACUGGGCCGUAACUGACGCUGAAGCGCGAAAGCGUGGGGAGCGAACAGGAUUAGAUACCCGGGUAGUCC